CGGGCCUACGGGAGGCAGCAGUGAGGAAUAUUGGUCAAUGGGCGGAAGCCUGAACCAGCCAAGUCGCGUGAGGGAAUAAGGCCCUACGGGUCGUAAACCUCUUUUGCCGGGGAGCAAGGGCGGGGACGUGUCCCGGCCCGGAGAGUACCCGGAGAAAAAGCAUCGGCUAACUCCGUGCCAGCAGCCGCGGUAAUACGGAGGAUGCGAGCGUUAUCCGGAAUUAUUGGGUGUAAAGGGUGCGUAGACGGGACAGCAAGUUAGUUGUGAAAGCCCUCGGCUUAACUGAGGAAC
RNAcentral lists this ribosomal RNA (291 nucleotides) under uncultured bacterium. RNAcentral describes it as "partial 16S ribosomal RNA". It matches the Rfam family "Bacterial small subunit ribosomal RNA", at positions 332 to 621 of the family's 1533-position model. The record is from RNAcentral.